Molecule: ribosomal RNA, 468 nt
Filed under: uncultured bacterium
Lineage: Bacteria
Description: partial 16S ribosomal RNA
Rfam family: Bacterial small subunit ribosomal RNA
Source: RNAcentral
GACGAACGCUGGCGGCGUGCUUAACACAUGCAAGUCGAACGGAAAGGCCCUGCUUUUGUGGGGUGCUCGAGCGGCGAACGGGUGAGUAACACGUGAGUAACCUGCCCUUGACUUUGGGAUAACUUCAGGAAACUGGGGCUAAUACCGGAUAGGAGCUCCUGCUGCAUGGUGGGGGUUGGAAAGUUUCGGCGGUUGGGGAUGGACUAGCGGCUUAUCAGCUUGUUGGUGGGGUAGUGGCUUACCAAGGCUUUGACGGGUAGCCGGCCUGAGAGGGUGACCGGCCACAAUGGGACUGAGAUACGGCCCAGACUCCUACGGGAGGCAGCAGUGGGGAAUAUUGCAGAAUGGGCGGAAGCCUGAUGCAGCAACGCCGCGUGCGGGAUGACGGCCUUCGGGUUGUAAACCGCUUUCGCCUGUGACGAAGCGUGAGUGACGGUAAUGGGUAAAGAAGCACCGGCUAACUACGUG